Molecule: long non-coding RNA, 1285 nt
Filed under: Homo sapiens (human)
Lineage: Eukaryota; Metazoa; Chordata; Mammalia; Primates; Hominidae
Description: HSALNT0115156
Source: RNAcentral
CUCAGAUCUUUCUUUAUAGCAACACAAGAACAGCCUAAUACACUCUUCAGGCCUCGAUUUCUUUAAUAAAAUAAGGACAGUAAGAGUGCCCGCUGCGGGGCUUGAAUGGGAUUGUUACCACCUUUCCCUCUGCUCCUCAGAGUUCAGAUGUAGACUCAGAAGUUAGAUGGAUCAACCCAAAUCACUAGUUUCAUUACUGAGAAAACUCAGUUGAAGAAUGCAGGUGGAUUUGGGGGUAGAAUCGGGCUUUCCACUUCUUCCUCCUCACAACUAACACUGUCUUGUUCCAUCUCUCUCACCCGCCAAUCCCACAACCAAUUCUGUUCCAGUAGGCUUACUCCUGGGAGGAACAAAUGAUUCGUGCAUCUGGGCAGGCCUCAAGGAAAUAGAGAUGGCAGAGGGGCGAGAGUCCUGCAGGAGUCCUCUGCGAAGCAGUGAGCAAGGGGAGGUUGAGAGAGAGGCCUGGGAGCCAGUGGACAUCUCUUUCUUUCUAGGUGGGAAUGUAAGGAGUGAGGGAGGAAAAUGCUUCUUGACAUCUACCUUGUAGAUCUGAAGGAAAUUACUCCAGAUUAUCUGGGUGGCCCCAGUGUAAUCAGGAGAGAGCCCUGCCUCUUAGUUGACACCUCGAUUUUGGACUUCCAGCCUCCAGAACUGUGAGAGAAUAAUACAUUUCCGUAGUUUUAAGCUAUUUGGACUCUGAUACUUUGUUACAGCAACCCUGGGAAACUAAUAUAAUCAGCCAUCUCCUUAAAUGCCAAGCAACAAGUGCCUUUAUUGAGAGACACCCUGUAGUCUCAGCUACUAGGGAGGCUGAAGUGGGAGGACUGCUUGAGCCCAAGAGUUUGAGGCUGCAGCGAGCUAUGCUUGCACCACUGUACUCCAGCCUGGGUGACAGAACGAGACCUUAUCUCUGUCUUAAAAAAAAAACUAUCUUGUUUUGUAAAAAUUAAGUCUCCAUAAGAAGCGAAUAUACUAUUGAUAACUCUUACAUAAUAUUGCUCUGGAACAUGACAUUUUCCUAUUAAAACCAUUUGUGACUAAUAGCACUACAGAGUUUCUAUCCUCUUUUCUUGAAUGCAUGUCAUGUUGUUUGUGGUUAAGCUUUUUUAUAUAAAGGCAUUGAUUUCAAAAAAUCAUGUAAUAUGGUGGUUGGAGAAUUACUAUAAUUUUUAUUUUGUAGGCCCCUACCCAAGACCCAAGCAGCAUGUUCAGAUAUUGUUUGGGUAAGAAAAAGAGACACUUAGAAAACCCCUCAACCUCAAAAUUAAUGCUUUGAUUGGAACAG